RNAcentral lists this non-coding RNA (269 nucleotides) under Peptococcaceae bacterium. Its description in RNAcentral is "T-box sequence". It matches the Rfam family "T-box leader". Rfam says of the family: Uncharged tRNA acts as the effector for transcription antitermination of genes in the T-box leader family. T-boxes are found upstream of many aminoacyl-tRNA synthetase genes and some amino acid biosynthetic genes usually in Gram-positive bacteria. The anticodon of a specific tRNA base pairs to a specifier sequence within the T-box motif, and the NCCA acceptor tail of the tRNA base pairs to a conserved bulge in the T-box antiterminator hairpin. Lineage: Bacteria; Bacillati; Bacillota; Clostridia; Eubacteriales; Peptococcaceae. The record is from RNAcentral.
CAGAUGACUUUGAUGGGGAAGAGUAUACCGGGUAAUCCGUCCAGAGAGCGGGGUAAGGUGGGAGCCCGUCGGUCCAGCCGGUGGAACAUGGCCCCGGAGUUUUUUUGCCCAAAGUCCCCGGCUAUGCCGGCAGGGCCGGUAGGUAAAAACGGGAUAAGCUCCGUUAAAGCGCUUAAGGUAUCGGAGUUUUGCUCCCGUACCUGUUGAGGCCCUAUACCGCAAGGUAAGGGUAAACUAGGGUGGUAACGCGGAAAACCUCCGUCCCUGAC